Molecule: ribosomal RNA, 546 nt
Filed under: uncultured bacterium
Lineage: Bacteria
Description: partial 16S ribosomal RNA
Rfam family: Bacterial small subunit ribosomal RNA
Source: RNAcentral
UGGGGGAAUUUUGGACAAUGGGGGAAACCCUGAUCCAGCCAUCCCGCGUGUGCGAUGAAGGCCUUCGGGUUGUAAAGCACUUUUGGCAGGAAAGAAACGUCGCGGGUUAAUACCCCGCGAAACUGACGGUACCUGCAGAAUAAGCACCGGCUAACUACGUGCCAGCAGCCGCGGUAAUACGUAGGGUGCAAGCGUUAAUCGGAAUUACUGGGCGUAAAGCGUGCGCAGGCGGUUCGGAAAGAAAGAUGUGAAAUCCCAGAGCUUAACUUUGGAACUGCAUUUUUAACUACCGGGCUAGAGUGUGUCAGAGGGAGGUGGAAUUCCGCGUGUAGCAGUGAAAUGCGUAGAUAUGCGGAGGAACACCGAUGGCGAAGGCAGCCUCCUGGGAUAACACUGACGCUCAUGUACGAAAAGCNUGGGGACAAACAGGAUUAGAUACCCUGGUAUCCACGCCCUAAACGAUGUCAACUAGCUNUGGGGCCUUNGGGCCUUGGUAGCGCAGCUAACGCGUGAAGUUGACCGCCUGGGGAGUACGGUCGCAAGAUU